This 361-nucleotide long non-coding RNA is filed under the name Phasianus colchicus (ring-necked pheasant). Its description in RNAcentral is "lncRNA (ENSPCLG00000017167.1)". Lineage: Eukaryota; Metazoa; Chordata; Aves; Galliformes; Phasianidae. The record is from RNAcentral.
UGAGGGAGAAAAGGACAAUUUGGGAUCAGAAAUGGGGAUUUUGAGGGAGAAAAGGACAAUUUGAGAUCAAAAAUGGGGAUUUUGAGGGAGAAAAGGGCAAUUCUGUGCUGGAAAGGGGAUCGGGGGUGAGAAAAGUGUAAAUUUGGGGUCAGAAAUGGUAAAUUUGGGGCCAGAAAGGGGAUUUGGGUGAGGAAAGAGGGAAUUUUGGGUGACAAAAUGGUAAUUCUGGGGUGAGAAACAGUGAAUAUUAGGUCAGAAAUGGUAAAUUUGGGGUCAGAAAAGGGCAAUUUGGGGUCAGAAAUGGAGAAUUUGGGGUCAGAAAAGGAGAUUUUUGGGGUUCUGAGGGGGGAAUUGGGUGAGA